Molecule: long non-coding RNA, 370 nt
Organism: Caenorhabditis elegans
Lineage: Eukaryota; Metazoa; Nematoda; Chromadorea; Rhabditida; Rhabditidae
Gene: linc-79
Product: ncRNA
Source: Ensembl
UACGAGUGCCGUUUUACAUGGUAAGUUAAUUUUUUUUACAAUUUGUUGAGUAUGUGGAAUGAAAAAAUCAAUUUUAAACAAAAUAUGUAAUUAAUCAGAACAAUAGGACGAAAAUAAUUGAUUUGCUGCUGUUUAAUUCAAGAGUUUUUUGAAACGGUGAUUUUUGUGAAAAUAAAUGGCAAUUUUUUUUAGUUGCAAUUCCGAAUUAAUUGUGGAAAAUUGUAUUGUGUAUGAAUUUUGAAACUAUUCAUUUAUUUAAUUUAUUCAACUCUUUUUCAAAUGUAUAUUUUUACAAUUUUUAAGGUUUGAUUAUUUCUGACAAAAUUGUUUUGAAUUGAUUUUUAUUCUUGAAAAAUAAAUUUAUAUUGUC